RNAcentral lists this ribosomal RNA (252 nucleotides) under uncultured bacterium. RNAcentral describes it as "partial 16S ribosomal RNA". It matches the Rfam family "Bacterial small subunit ribosomal RNA", at positions 524 to 776 of the family's 1533-position model. The record is from RNAcentral.
UACGUAGGGAGCAAGCGUUGUCCGGAAUCAUUGGGCGUAAAGCGCGCGUAGGCGGCCUCAUAAGUCCGUUGUGAAAGUCAAAGGCUCAACCUUUGAAAGCCGAUGGAUACUGUGAGGCUAGAGUCCGGAAGAGGCGAGUGGAAUUCCUGGUGUAGCGGUGGAAUGCGCAGAUAUCAGGAGGAACACCAAUAGCGAAGGCAGCUCGCUGGGACGGUACUGACGCUAAGGCGCGAAAGCGUGGGAGCGAACAGG